This 816-nucleotide long non-coding RNA is filed under the name Eptatretus burgeri (inshore hagfish). Its description in RNAcentral is "lncRNA (ENSEBUG00000017500.1)". The record is from RNAcentral. Lineage: Eukaryota; Metazoa; Chordata; Myxini; Myxiniformes; Myxinidae.
GUCGCGAUGACGUAAUCACGUACUUUCUGAAGUGAGUUUCACGGCACGGACGACGCACAUCCAUGGAACUUGGCUGAGGCGAUAAAGAAAAAAUCUCUUGCAUCACUUCAGAUUCAACCGAUCAAUCACAUGUAUGGAUGGUUUCGUCAUGGCCGACCUUCUGCUUAUCCAAACCCGAACAUUAUCGAGCACAACCCUCAACCGAAAUGUCCCUUCAGGGCGUCAAGUGCUAUUCUGAAAAUGUUCGAGUCUGGCGUUUUGAACAUGUGACACGAAGUUCGUUCCUGGGAGCACGAACUGGACAAGUACUGGACUGUACUCCAUUUUGGGGCUGGGAUGUGCUGCCAAGUUCCUAAAGGAUUGAAAUGCAGGAUGGACCUCACUGCUGCUGUGUCUCAACGUGGACUCAUCUGGACUCUGCACAAACUCAAUCGUUGGGGCUGUAUUUGUUGCUGUUUCGGUUUGGGGUGUGACAUCUUCCAUUCGCACCUGUUUUUGGAAGUUUUUUUUGCAAGGAGUGAUCAAGACAGCGGUCUGUUGCCUAUACAUCAUGCAAAUAAAGUGAUGUGUGAAAAGAACAUGUUGCACACUUGGAACAAGAUCAUCCUUUGGGCCACGUCCUCCAGCCAUCCAGAAAUCACCACCAUCUUUUUCUCUUCACGUAGCUCAGAUUGUUUUGAAGGCCUCAUGUACAUUUGAAGACUGAGCAACGCAUCUUCUGUCAUUAAAUGGGGGGGGGGGGGGGGGGGGGGGGGGGGGGGGGGGGGGGGGGGGGGGGGGGGGGGGGGGGGGGGGGGGGGGGGGGGGGGGGGGGGG